GUGAACUCCGGGGGAUGGUGACGGACAGGGAGGCCCGGUAUGCUGCGAUUCAUGGGGUCUCAAAGAGUCGAACAGGACUGAGAGACUGAACUGAACUGAACUGAACUGGAGAGGGAUCUAGGGAGGUCGGGGUAAAGCUUUGGAACUCUCAGGGCAGAGGAUUGGGCUGAGGUCUCAGGGUUUAUCUCAAGCACAAGCAGGGGAGAGGUGCUGGGAGCAGCGGUGGCCUCGGCCUGCCCUUGAGAGGGAGGGAGGGAGGGAGGAGGGGACAUAAGGGGGAGGUUGUGGAACUGGAUCUGGAGCGGCUACAAGGGGAUUGGGAGUGAUAGAGGGUGGGCUGUGGUCAGAAAGGUGGAAGGAAGAAGAAGAAAAGUCUGAACAAGGAUUGGGAGACAUUGUAUUAGAAGGAUGUGGCUUAGAGUGGGCUACGAGUAUUUGAGAAGUAGAAGGGGAUUCACAGAAAGAGGGUCGAGAGCGAAGAGCAAAGAAAGCCUGAAGAUAAGGAAUUUCUAACCACUUGCCAUUGCGGCAGCAGAAGUUAUCGAGCUCCCUUAGAGUAUAGUAAUCCAGAGUUCCGUUUUCUGGCCAAUGGGACCUGUUAUCAAGUCGGUUUUGCAGCCAGACAGUGUUAGAAUAUUUCUUACUCACAUUACAAGCCUGGGAAUCAGCAAACCAAGCCUUCAGAGGAUGUAAACAGAAGGCCUGAGAAACAGCAGAUUAAUCAAAAAGAAAAUGGAAGGUAUAGUGCCCUAUUCUAGGGGAUCUUCCUGAUCCAGGAAUCAUCAAACCCCUGUCUCAUAUGUUUCCUGCAUUGGCAGACAGGUUCUUUACUGCUAGCACCACCUGGGAAACCUGCAUAUAAAAGGAGAAGUAAACAAGAGAGAAGUAGCCCAAGGUUAUGGAACUUAAACACUGUCAGAUUUGGGUUUUGUAGAUAUCCUGAAAAAAAAAAAAAAUUAGCAGCAUU
Molecule: long non-coding RNA, 967 nt
Organism: Bubalus bubalis (water buffalo)
Lineage: Eukaryota; Metazoa; Chordata; Mammalia; Artiodactyla; Bovidae
Exons: 2
Source: RefSeq, a predicted model, not a curated record